UACGUAGGGGGCAAGCGUUGUCCGGAAUCAUUGGGCGUAAAGAGCGUGUAGGCGGCCCGAUAAGUCCGCCGUGAAAGUCCAGGGCUCAACCCUGGAAUGCCGGUGGAAACUGUCGGGCUGGAGUCCGGAAGAGGCGAGUGGAAUUCCUGGUGUAGCGGUGAAAUGCGCAGAUAUCAGGAGGAACACCGAUGGCGAAGGCAGCUGCCUGGCCUGACACUGACGCUGAGGUGCGAAAGCGUGGGGAGCGAACGGG
This 253-nucleotide ribosomal RNA is filed under the name uncultured bacterium. RNAcentral describes it as "partial 16S ribosomal RNA". It matches the Rfam family "Bacterial small subunit ribosomal RNA", at positions 524 to 776 of the family's 1533-position model. The record is from RNAcentral.